RNAcentral lists this ribosomal RNA (303 nucleotides) under uncultured bacterium. RNAcentral describes it as "partial 16S ribosomal RNA". It matches the Rfam family "Bacterial small subunit ribosomal RNA", at positions 507 to 807 of the family's 1533-position model. The record is from RNAcentral.
AGCAGCAGCCGCGGGAAUACGUAGGUGGCAAGCGUUGUCCGGAAUUAUUGGGCGUAAAGGGCUCGCAGGCGGUUUCUUAAGUCUGAUGUGAAAGCCCCCGGCUCAACCGGGGAGGGUCACUGGAAACUGGGAAACUUGAGUGCAGAAGAGGAGAGUGGAAUUCCACGUGUAGCGGUGAAAUGCGUAGAGAUGUGGAGGAACACCAGUGGCGAAGGCGACUCUCUGGUCUGUAACUGACGCUGAGGAGCGAAAGCGUGGGGAGCGAACAGGAUUAGAUACCCGUGUAGUCCCUGUCUCUUAUAC